GGCCGUCUAGCUCAGUUGGUUAGAGCGUCGUGCUAAUAUUGCUUGGUUCAAUUCCUGCAUUCUUACGCGAAGGUCUUGGGUUCGACCCCCACGAUGGCCA
Non-coding RNA from Mycena vitilis, 100 nucleotides. The record is from the annotation of a GenBank genome assembly. Lineage: Eukaryota; Fungi; Basidiomycota; Agaricomycetes; Agaricales; Mycenaceae.